This 204-nucleotide long non-coding RNA is filed under the name Helianthus annuus (common sunflower). Its description in RNAcentral is "sRNA HanXRQr2_Chr11g0494141". The record is from RNAcentral. Lineage: Eukaryota; Viridiplantae; Streptophyta; Magnoliopsida; Asterales; Asteraceae.
ACAAAAAAGCGUUCAACGAGGCCGGAACAAGAAAAUUUAACCACCGGAAGAGGUCAAACUUGGACAUCGAUCGAAGAGUUGGCGUUGGCAAGGGCGUGGACCAAUACGUCUACGUGUCCGAUCGUAGGUAAUAAUCAAAAGUCUGGCAGUUUUUGGAAGGAGGUUUGCAACAAAUUUCAUGCUUUGAUGCAAAAAGAACCAUGA